RNAcentral lists this RNase P RNA (387 nucleotides) under Candidatus Omnitrophota bacterium. RNAcentral describes it as "Candidatus Omnitrophica bacterium RNase P RNA component class A". It matches the Rfam family "Bacterial RNase P class A". From Rfam's summary of the family: Ribonuclease P (RNase P) is a ubiquitous endoribonuclease, found in archaea, bacteria and eukarya as well as chloroplasts and mitochondria. Its best characterised activity is the generation of mature 5'-ends of tRNAs by cleaving the 5'-leader elements of precursor-tRNAs. The record is from RNAcentral. Lineage: Bacteria; Pseudomonadati; Candidatus Omnitrophota.
GGCGCAGGUUGGAUAGUCGCCUCCGCCCAAGGCGGGGGAGGAAAGUCCGGGCUCCACAGGGCAGUGUAGCGGGUAACACCCGUCCCCACCACAAAACGUUGGUGGGAGGAUUUAGAGCCACAGAGACGAGUCAGGACAGAACCGCAGAUUAUACGAUAAAAAUGUCUUGAUUGACAUAAUAUUUGUAUUAUCUACGGUUCUGUCCUGGGUGAAACGAGGUAAUCUCUACGCGGAGCAAAACCAGAUAGGUCUCGCUAAGAAGAGUGGCCCGUUCGAAAUAGCGAGAUGGGUAGGUUGCUUGAUCCUGACAGUAAUGUCAGGUAUUAGAUAGAUGACUAUCGCCCAUUUAUAUGGGUACAGAACCCGGCUUAUAGGCCUGCGUCAUAU